UAGACGUGUUGGAGCAGUGCUGGGAGAACUGUGGGAAGUUCAUGUGGGAUCAGUUUGGCAAGGACAGCAUCCUGUGGGAGUGACCCACAUGGGGCAGGGACAGAGAGCGACCAUGGAGGAGCUGCAGCCACCAUGAGGCCUCUGCUCUGGGCUGAGCGUACCCAGGGACCUCAGCUGCUCCUCACACACUUUGCUUUCCAGACCCUUCCCCGUGUUUGUUGCCCUCCUUUAGACACUGCCUAAUAGCUUUAUGCCCUUUUUAUACUGUGGGCCCAAACCCACGCCCAGUGCUGGAGGUGAGGCUACACCAGUGCAGAGCAGAGGGAACAACCCCUCCCUUCGUCCAGUGGCAGUGCUAGGCCUGAAAUUACAUUUAGUUCUUCAGGCAGAAGCAAUACAGCCCUAUUUAGAUUUACAAAGGCUGCCCUGGCUCUUGCUCUCAUCUUGGAUGUUAUAAUUUUAUCCUUUUAUUUUCCAAGGUUGCUGGGUAUUCCAUGGAGAUUCAUGAAUGUAUAUAUAUACAUUCAUACACACAUAUAUGGAUACUCCAUGAAUAUACUCAGGAAUCAUAAAUGUUCAAUUCUACACCAUAUUGUACAGAUGUAUAACUGGAAGAUAUGAUGCCCAACACAGUGUUUAUGUGUCCUACUCUUGUUUUCCUGCUCACACAGGUUUAUUUUCUCUCUCAAGUUCAAAGUAUGCAACUCAAAAAGUCCAGAAAAUAAGGGACAUGCCUCAGAGUAUGUGCUUUGCUCAGCUUUGUGACUGUCUUAUUUGUCUCUACAGCAAUUCGUGCAAGUUAAGCCAAACAAAGAUCUACUGUACCUUGACAGCAGGACCAUCUGGAGUUCAUUCUUGUAAUUAUUUUCAGGCAUACACGGUCCUCCUCUGGCAAAUAGGCAUUUUAAGGCAUCACGGGGCAUGUUCAUUAGCAUACUGGGAAUCAAAAGGGAUUGCAUCUGGUAAAGGGAAUUAA
Molecule: long non-coding RNA, 976 nt
Filed under: Phasianus colchicus (ring-necked pheasant)
Lineage: Eukaryota; Metazoa; Chordata; Aves; Galliformes; Phasianidae
Description: lncRNA (ENSPCLG00000018244.1)
Source: RNAcentral